Molecule: non-coding RNA, 75 nt
Organism: Streptomyces violaceusniger Tu 4113
Lineage: Bacteria; Bacillati; Actinomycetota; Actinomycetes; Kitasatosporales; Streptomycetaceae
Source: Rfam
CUUCACCGACCCCAGCCACAACGGCCGGUCAUCCGGCCGGUCCUGACCGUACGUCGCCAGCACCGCCUGCGCCUC